CCUACGGGAGGCAGCAGUGGGGAAUAUUGGACAAUGGGGGAACCCUGAUCCAGCAAUGCCGCGUGAGUGAUGAAGGCCUUAGGGUUGUAAAGCUCUUUUACCAGGGAUGAUAAUGACAGUACCUGGAGAAUAAGCUCCGGCUAACUCCGUGCCAGCAGCCGCGGUAAUACGGAGGGAGCUAGCGUUGUUCGGAAUUACUGGGCGUAAAGCGCACGUAGGCGGUUACUCAAGUCAGAGGUGAAAGCCCGGGGCUCAACCCCGGAACUGCCUUUGAAACUAGGUAACUAGAAUCCUGGAGAGGUGAGUGGAAUUCCGAGUGUAGAGGUGAAAUUCGUAGAUAUUCGGAAGAACACCAGUGGCGAAGGCGGCUC
RNAcentral lists this ribosomal RNA (371 nucleotides) under uncultured bacterium. RNAcentral describes it as "bacterial SSU rRNA". It matches the Rfam family "Bacterial small subunit ribosomal RNA", at positions 338 to 727 of the family's 1533-position model. The record is from RNAcentral.